This 73-nucleotide transfer RNA is filed under the name Candidatus Woesearchaeota archaeon. RNAcentral's name for it is "tRNA-Gln". It matches the Rfam family "tRNA". From Rfam's summary of the family: Transfer RNA (tRNA) molecules are approximately 80 nucleotides in length. Their secondary structure includes four short double-helical elements and three loops (D, anti-codon, and T loops). Lineage: Archaea; Nanobdellati; Candidatus Woesearchaeota. The record is from RNAcentral.
AGCCCCGUGGUGUAGUGGACUAUCAUCGUGCCCUUUGGAGGCAUGGACCGCAGUUCGAAUCUGCGCGGGGCUA